CAAAAGCGUAUAUUAAAGUUGUUGCAGUUAAAAAGCUCGUAGUUGAACCUUGGGCUUGGCUGGCCGGUCCAUCUUUUUUGAUGCGUACUGGACCCAGCCGAGCCUUUCCUUCUGGCUAGCCUUUUGGCGAACCAGGACUUUUACUUUGAAAAAAUUAGAGUGUUCAAAGCAGGCCUUUGCUCGAAUAUAUUAGCAUGGAAUAAUAGAAUAGGACGUUAUGGUUCUAUUUUGUUGGUUUCUAGGACCAUCAUAAUGAUUAAUAGGGACGGUCGGGGGUAUCAGUAUUCAGUUGUCAGAGGUGAAAUUCUUGGAUUUACUGAAGACUAACUACUGCGAAAGCAUUUACCAAGGACGUUUUCAUUAA
This 364-nucleotide ribosomal RNA is filed under the name uncultured eukaryote. RNAcentral describes it as "partial 18S ribosomal RNA". It matches the Rfam family "Eukaryotic small subunit ribosomal RNA", at positions 592 to 976 of the family's 1831-position model. The record is from RNAcentral.